CUAAGUGGCGGACGGGUGGGUAAUGUAUAGUUAAUCUGCCCUUUAGAGGGGGAUAACAGUUGGAAACGACUGCUAAUACCCCAUACUCCUUUUAUCUUAAUGAUAAUUGGGAAACGUUUUUUCGCUAAAGGAUGAGACUAUAUGGUAUCAGGUAGUUGGUAGGGUAAGAGCCUACCAAGCCAAUGACGCCUAGCUGGUCUGAGAGGAUGAUCAGCCACACUGGAACUGAGACACGGUCCAG
This 241-nucleotide ribosomal RNA is filed under the name uncultured bacterium. RNAcentral's name for it is "partial 16S ribosomal RNA". It matches the Rfam family "Bacterial small subunit ribosomal RNA", at positions 91 to 334 of the family's 1533-position model. The record is from RNAcentral.